This is a long non-coding RNA of Raphanus sativus (radish), 657 nucleotides long. RefSeq lists it as uncharacterized. The transcript has 3 exons. The record is from RefSeq and is a predicted model, not a curated record. NCBI's taxonomy places the organism in Eukaryota, Viridiplantae, Streptophyta, Magnoliopsida, Brassicales, Brassicaceae.
ACAAACAAAUCAAUAGACUCUAUAAGGCGACCAAAAAAACACAAUAACCUAAAACCCUUUAAAAUCCAAAUAAAAUCCAUUACCCUAUAAACCUAUAUAUCUCGAUUUUGGCACAUUGUUAGGGUUAGUUUGUGGAUAUGGGGACUGCAGCACGGACAAAAUGAUCUCUGGCCAAGGGAGGUCACGACUCACGAGCAGGUUGGUGCUUAGAUUUUCAGAGCCUUUCAGGAGUAUUCAUACCGUGACGUCGCCGCUCAUACAACUUUAAAGCCAAGGUAAAGGAGGGGAAGGCAAACACUCAAGAGGAACUUAAGAGGAAUCUUCGUGAUGACCUUGAAGAGUGGGACAAGAGACACUUCUCACUCAAAGGCAAAACUUACAAUGUCGGAUCCGUAAGUAAGAAUGAAGAACUCUUGUGAGAGCCUCAGAGAGAUAAAAAUAUAAUUUGGAUUGGCAAAUGAGGUAGAGCCAUUGAUCCCUAUGAGAGCAGAUCGGACGUUCGAGAGAAGAAGCUGAGUAGAUCGGAGUUUGAGAUGAAAUAAAUCAUCGAAGAAGACAAUUUCUUUUGUGAUAUCAAUUUUUGUAUAUUAGCUACAAAUGCAAUAUAACCAGCAAUAGAUGAAUGGUUCUAAGUUGUAACAACAAUAAUUUUAGUUA